Chionomys nivalis (European snow vole) is the source of this 974-nucleotide RNA transcript. It is a transcript of the gene named fucose mutarotase, with no coding region annotated. NCBI's taxonomy places the organism in Eukaryota, Metazoa, Chordata, Mammalia, Rodentia, Cricetidae. The transcript is spliced from 8 exons. The record is from RefSeq and is a predicted model, not a curated record.
CCCAACUCCACCAGUUCUGCGGCCAUGGUUGUGCUUAAGGGCAUCCCGAAGGUGCUGUCGCCGGAGCUGCUAUUCGCGCUUGCUCGGAUGGGUCACGGAGACGAGAUAGUUCUUGCAGAUGCAAACUUCCCAACUUCCUCCAUCUGCCAGUGUGGACCCGUAGAGAUCCGAGCAGAUGGCCUGGCCAUCCCACAGCUCCUGGAGGCUGUGCUGAAGCUGCUGCCCCUGGAUACCUAUGUGGAAAGCCCGGCUGCUGUGAUGGAGCUAGUGCCCAGCGACAAGGAGAGGGGCCUGCAGACCCCAAUAUGGAACCUCUAUGAAUCCCUUCUUCUCACAGCUGGCUGCAAGAAAGCUCUGAUGAAGAUAGAGAGAUUUGAAUUUUAUGAACGUGCAAAAAAAGCUUUUGCUGUGGUCGCAACCGGAUUCCAACAUAGACCGGACAUCAGCAGCUCUUCAGGAAUCCCCCAGGCUUCCGAGGCCAACUUGGGACUGCUGGGACAUCCAGCCUUAUGGAUUGAAAAAUCACUGGAUUCUCAGCCUCCAAUGUGAGACAGUCAUUGUUGGAUGACCAGGAUCACAUACUCUAAGCCAAUGCUAUACAGAGAAUUCAAGGACAACCAAGGCUGCAUGAGAUACUGUCUCAAGAAGGAGAAGGGAAAGAGGAACAGGAAGAUGAAGAGGAAAAGAAGGCAGAUGUGGAUAAGUAGUUAAUUCAAAAGGGGGGUAAUUUGGGUAGGCCCUAAUUCGGUCUGAUUGGUGUCCUGUUUAGAAUAAAUUAGAAGACUCUGGAAGAGACACUGUCUACACAAGUCUAGGAACACGAUAUCAGCAGGACCUGCACCAGCACCUGGAUCUUGGAGCUUUGGCCUCCAGAAUGCCUCGUUCUCGGGCUCCAGCCCCUUGCCAGCCCCGCCUGGUGGCGAAGCGUCUGGAACUGCAUCCUCCGCAUCCAUACCGCAUCCCUGUCCUCCCGC